ACGCUCGACACCUACUGGAGGCAGCAGUUGGGAAUAUUGGACAAUGGAGGAAACUCUGAUCCAGUGACGCCGCGUGAAGGAAGAAGGUCUUCGGAUUGUAAACUUAUUUUGUCAGGGAAGAAAAAAUGACUGUACCUGAAGAAAAAGCACCGGCUAACUACGUACCAGCAGCCGCGGUAAUCUGAGCGGGCUGGCAAGGC
RNAcentral lists this ribosomal RNA (200 nucleotides) under uncultured bacterium. Its description in RNAcentral is "partial 16S ribosomal RNA". It matches the Rfam family "Bacterial small subunit ribosomal RNA", at positions 328 to 539 of the family's 1533-position model. The record is from RNAcentral.